CCCUCCAUCGAGAUGUAUAGGAUGUGCCAAUCUAAUUGGAAUAAUUGAUCUCUGACUUAAUAAUCCAAUGACUAAGAAUAUUUAGAUUAGAGUUUUAAGAUUUUAGGUCUCAUUGGCAUGAUCUCAUCAUGGUCUUAAACUUAUUGUCUUAAUCUAUGGGGUUCACCAUAAUCUUAAAGAUAAAUAAGAUGUAAAAAAUGAUGAAACAAAAUAUCUCAUUUUAUUCAUAAAUAAACAAUAUCAUUAUAUGAGUUGGAA
This 258-nucleotide long non-coding RNA is filed under the name Elaeis guineensis (African oil palm). Its description in RNAcentral is "long non-coding RNA (EGUI_LNC066570)". Lineage: Eukaryota; Viridiplantae; Streptophyta; Magnoliopsida; Arecales; Arecaceae. The record is from RNAcentral.